UACGGAGGGUGCGAGCGUUAAUCGGAAUUACUGGGCGUAAAGCGCAUGCAGGUGGUUUGUUAAGUCAGAUGUGAAAGCCCGGGGCUCAACCUCGGAAGGUCAUUUGAAACUGGCAAACUAGAGUACUGUAGAGGGGGGUAGAAUUUCAGGUGUAGCGGUGAAAUGCGUAGAGAUCUGAAGGAAUACCAGUGGCGAAGGCGGCCCCCUGGACAGAUACUGACACUCAGAUGCGAAAGCGUGGGGAGCAAACAGGAUUAGAAACCCCGGUA
This 269-nucleotide ribosomal RNA is filed under the name uncultured bacterium. RNAcentral's name for it is "partial 16S ribosomal RNA". It matches the Rfam family "Bacterial small subunit ribosomal RNA", at positions 524 to 792 of the family's 1533-position model. The record is from RNAcentral.